Molecule: transfer RNA, 82 nt
Filed under: Centruroides sculpturatus (bark scorpion)
Lineage: Eukaryota; Metazoa; Arthropoda; Arachnida; Scorpiones; Buthidae
Description: tRNA-Leu
Rfam family: tRNA
About the family: Transfer RNA (tRNA) molecules are approximately 80 nucleotides in length.
Source: RNAcentral
GGUAGGGUGGCCGAGCGGUCUAAGGCGCUGGUUUUAGGCACCAGUCUCUUCGGAGGCGUGGGUUCGAAUCCCACCCCUGCCA